Molecule: ribosomal RNA, 332 nt
Filed under: uncultured Proteinimicrobium sp.
Lineage: Bacteria; Pseudomonadati; Pseudomonadota; Betaproteobacteria
Description: bacterial SSU rRNA
Rfam family: Bacterial small subunit ribosomal RNA
Source: RNAcentral
CGCGUAGGUGGUUAUUUAAGUGAGAUGUGAAAUCCCCGGGCUUAACCUGGGAACUGCAUCUUAUACUGGGUAACUGGAGUGCAAUAGAGGGUAGUGGAAUUUCCGGUGUAGCGGUGAAAUGCGUAGAUAUCGGAAGGAACACCAGUGGCGAAGGCGGCUACCUGGAUUGACACUGACACUGAGGCGCGAGAGCGUGGGGAGCAAACAGGAUUAGAUACCCUGGUAGUCCACGCCGUAAACGAUGAAAACUAGAUGUUGGGCAGCUUAGACUGUUCAGUAUCGAAGCUAACGCGAUAAGUUUUCCGCCUGGGGAGUACGGUCGCAAGAUUAAA